This 495-nucleotide ribosomal RNA is filed under the name uncultured bacterium. RNAcentral's name for it is "partial 16S ribosomal RNA". It matches the Rfam family "Bacterial small subunit ribosomal RNA", at positions 28 to 507 of the family's 1533-position model. The record is from RNAcentral.
GACGAACGCUGGCGGCGUGCCUAAUACAUGCAAGUAGAACGCUGAAGGAGGAGCUUGCUUCUCUGGAUGAGUUGCGAACGGGUGAGUAACGCGUAGGUAACCUGCCUGGUAGCGGGGGAUAACUAUUGGAAACGAUAGCUAAUACCGCAUAAGAGUAGAUGUUGCAUGACAUUUUCUUAAAAGGUGCAAUUGCAUCACUACCAGAUGGACCUGCGUUGUAUUAGCUAGUUGGUGGGGUAACGGCUCACCAAGGCGACGAUACAUAGCCGACCUGAGAGGGUGAUCGGCCACACUGGGACUGAGACACGGCCCAGACUCCUACGGGAGGCAGCAGUAGGGAAUCUUCGGCAAUGGACGGAAGUCUGACCGAGCAACGCCGCGUGAGUGAAGAAGGUUUUCGGAUCGUAAAGCUCUGUUGUAAGAGAAGAACGAGUGUGAGAGUGGAAAGUUCACACUGUGACGGUAUCUUACCAGAAAGGGACGGCUAACUACGUG